ACCGAUGUUUCAGUUGUAAAAAAUAAAAUACAGAGUUUCGGUAGAUUGAAUUACCGAUCAACUCUGUUCUAAGUAAAUGUCCUGCACUUGUCAAAACAUUAACCGAUCACUCAGUAAAAAUAAAUUCACUUUACUGAACACCUGGUAAAACAAGUACCGAGUUAUCAGUUCUCGACCAGGUACCGCAUGUUUCGACGCCAUAUUUAUUUGCGAGUCAGAACGAGUUUGUUUCAGUCGAGAUUAAUGCUACCGGUGGAAAUUUUGCUUUAUUGGAUAUUCAGGACAAAUAUGUUUAAAAUGUAUCAUCAGCUGGCACAGUCCCUACUGCUAUCUCCAACAUGCGUUGUGCCGAUUUUAUGGAACUCGAUCUAUAAUAAGACAUCAGAUAUAAUAAAACGAAUGAGGUUCCCUGCGUCCAUCUUGGUGAUAGCUUCCUGGGCGAUAAUGGAAUUGCGCUAGUGCUACAGCAAUGAGACAGCAGCAAACAUAUUUUGUACAAAGUUUUCUGACUCUAAAAAACAAUAAUAAAUAUAAAAG
Long non-coding RNA from Armigeres subalbatus, 537 nucleotides. RefSeq lists it as uncharacterized. The record is from RefSeq and is a predicted model, not a curated record. The transcript has 3 exons. Lineage: Eukaryota; Metazoa; Arthropoda; Insecta; Diptera; Culicidae.